UACGAAUGGGGCAAGCGUUGUUCGGAGUCACUGGGCUUAGAGCGUACGCAGGCGGACAUGAAAGUCAGAAGUGAAAUCCCCGGGCUCAACCUGGGAAUUGCUUUUGAAACUCCAUGUCUCGAAUCCGGUAGAGGUUGGGAGAAUUCCUAGUGUAGAGGUGAAAUUCGCAGAUAUUAGGAGGAAUACCAGUGGCGUAGGCGCCCAACUGGACCGGUAUUGACGCUCAGGUACGAAAGCGUGGGGAGCAAACAGG
RNAcentral lists this ribosomal RNA (253 nucleotides) under uncultured bacterium. RNAcentral's name for it is "partial 16S ribosomal RNA". It matches the Rfam family "Bacterial small subunit ribosomal RNA", at positions 524 to 776 of the family's 1533-position model. The record is from RNAcentral.